AACGAACGCUGGCGGCAUGCCUAACACAUGCAAGUCGAACGAGACCUUCGGGUCUAGUGGCGCACGUGUGCGUACCGCGUGGGAACCUGCCCUUAGGUUCGGAAUAACUCCCCGAAAGGGGUGCUAAUACCGGAUAAUGUCUUCGGACCAAAGAUUUAUCGCCUUUGGAUGGGCCCGCGUUGGAUUAGCUAGUUGGUAGUGUAAAAGCCUACCAAGGCCACGAUCCAUAGCUGGUCUGAGAGGAUGAUCAGCCACACUGGGACUGAGACACGGCCCAGACUCCUACGGGAGGCAGCAGUGGGGAAUAUUGGACAAUGGGCGAGAGCCUGAUCCAGCAAUGCCGCGUGAGUGAUGAAGGCCUUAGGGUUGUUAAGCUCUUUUACCCGGGAUGAUAAUGACAGUACCGGGAGAAUAAGCUCCGGCUAACUCCGUG
This 433-nucleotide ribosomal RNA is filed under the name uncultured bacterium. RNAcentral's name for it is "partial 16S ribosomal RNA". It matches the Rfam family "Bacterial small subunit ribosomal RNA", at positions 29 to 507 of the family's 1533-position model. The record is from RNAcentral.